AAACAUUAAGAUCAAACAUGAUAACAAUUAGACACAGUAAAGUCGAACAAACAUGCAUCCGUAUAAAUGAGUAGGAUUUGGUAUUCUAAUAACUUUCCAUUUGUUGUGAAGCUAACUCUCUGAAUUGUCAUAAUAUAGUACAUUAUUCAUAAGCCAAAAAUGCCACCAACAUCAAGAAUGCCUUCAAUCGAUAUUGUGUUUCAAGAACUUAUUGAUUGCAAAGUGGAUAAAACUUGGACAGAAAGGAAAGAAGCAGACAGAUAUCUUAAAGACUCUGAAGGACAAGAUGAGAAACAUCAGGCAGGUAAGAAGGGGGAAUUGCUCUCAAAUAAAACUGUGCAGGCAAGAAAACACGAAGAUAAUCAAGUGAAAACCAUAACUUCACCAAAUCCAAGGAAUGGUUUAGCAAGCUUAAGAAGAAACAGUUUUCUUUGAAUCAAACCAUACUCAAUACAAAAAUUUUCACACAAAAAAAAGAAUCCAGAAAUGGAACACAUUCAAAAGAUUUCUCUAACGGUAUAAAACAAGUUGAUCUUUCCAUACAUCGGAGCUCUUCUACCUCUAUAAUGAUCACGUAGAGCAGCAAGAACAAAAUGCCAUUUAAAAUGCAUUGUCAAUACAAUAUCAUCUAGAGAAAUGAGGCUAGACAGUAUCACUCAAUCAUCCAAGCAGGAGAAACCAAUCAAACUGCUACUUACGGGAGGGGAGGGAUGUCAUAUAGAACCUCAUCCAUGCCAUAUCACCUUUAGCACAAAGCUCUAAACAACAAAGAAAACAACUCAAUCUAAGAGCCAACCUGUUUUUGACGGAAUUUACGUUAGAUUUCAUAUGUAACUUACCCAGAUCCAAUUACCUCACGGAAUUUAAUCCAAACAAUAGAAGACGACGAGCAUAAAGACUUAAAUAAACUCACGUUGAAGCAAAAGAUAACCAACAAAUCCUACAUCAACUGGAUACAACAAAACUAUAACUCAAACUAGCAGAAAUUGCAGCUGAAGCUACUCAGAAGCGCAACAAACUGGACAGAAACAUGUUAAGGAACUGAACUUGCAAUAUCUCUUUAUUACAACUUUAGGUCACAACCCAUGAAUCAAAUUCUCAGUCAACAACACUCCAAAUCGGUCUCCUUUUGUAUUCAUAUUUCCAUAAAAAAAACAGCAGAACCACUCAAACAAACAUGUUCAAACUCAGAAAACCAACUCAAAGCUCAACCAAACAUCCCAAAAUUGUUCAGUGAUGUUAAUUUUUACAUCUCAGGUAUCCAGAAAUCGAUUCAAACAAACAAGACAUUUCAGCUCACACAAAAUAGAAAAAUAGGGGAGUUUGGAAGUGAACCUAAAAAUGAACUUUCAAUUAAUGCAAUUUAACAAUUACAACGAUUCUCAAAGGAAGCGAGUCCAAACAGAGAUUGCAAUGAACUCACGAAUCAGCAGCUAAACGAACAGCGUUGGAGCAACUCCAAAUGAACAACACUCAGUCGACUUCCAUUAACUCAAAAUUAAAUCCAGAAAAUGAACUCAGCCUUCGAGCUCAAUCCAAACUCAUCAUGAAAAAUGAAAAUUUCUGAACUUCAAGAUGAAGAGAACAAAGGGGCUCAGAUUAAAAAAACGAAAAUGAUUUUUUUUGUAUUUUUCUAUUGUAACUAGAAUUAAACUAAGAUGGUUUCAAAAUGAAUCAAAAAGAAAAAGAUGCUUUCUUAGAACCCUAUUUCCCAAGUGACCUCUGCUUCUCCAAAAGAAAAUCCCUCAGAAUCAUCCCCCUUUACAAAAUCGGAUUCGGUCCUUUUUGAAAACGAGCACCUGAUGAAUGUGGGGCUCGGAUUGAAUGAAAUCAAUCCAACGCCUCACACUCAUCCAAUGAUUGUCCUCCAGAACCUUCCAAUCACGCGAUAUAGUUCAAAAUUGGGCGAGUGAAGGGGUNNNNNNNNNNNNNNNNNNNNNNNNNUGAAUCUCCUUCCCAAAUUCAUUUUCUUUUUCUUUUUUUCUCUUUUUUCUUUUUCUUUAAUUAAUAAAAUCCUAGAAUUAACUCCUAAAUUAAUCUAAGUUGUAAAAUUAAACUAAUUGCCUAGUCACAAUAAUUAUAAAAUUACUUAGUCCUAAAUUAAAGGAAAAAAUCAAUAGACUAAAAUUAAAAGGUGUAAAAUGAGCUAUUUUAUGAUUUUCGUUUUUAAUAAAAGAAAUAAUUGCUAAUUAAUUCCAAAAAUAUAAAAUCAAACCUAAUUGUGAUGCAUGGUAUUUUUGGAUUUUCAUGAUUUUUUUAAUAAAAAUGAACAUGCACAGAAAAUGCAAAUAAUUAGCACGAAUUUCACAAAAUCCUAUAAAAUUGUAAAAAAUAGAAAAAAUUAUUUUUCUUGUAUUUUAUGGGAGUAAUUCACAUAGGGCAAAAAUCACAUGCUCACAGCUGCCCCUCUUUGCUCGGAAACGCGAAGAGUUUUCAUGCAAAGAUAAAGUUAGCGGAUACGAGCGAAUUUUGCCCGUUUGAAUACUCCGUGUGAAGCAUCUUUUGAAUUAUUUUCAUUCCUGCUUUUCUUUGCUUGGUUCUUAUUUUUUUCUUUUAUUCUCUCAUUUUCCCUCUCUUUUCUUUUUCUUUUCCUUUUUUUAUCCUUUUCUUUUCUCUCUUUUCGUUCUUUUCUUUCUCUUUUUCUCUUAUCUUUUCCCCUUUUCCUUCUUUAUUUACCUUUUGUAUCCGUUCUUUUGAACUUUACUACUGAUUCUAAAAGAGGGGUAUAAAAAAAAAUAAACAAGGCUCAAAGAGGUAACAAAGGGUAAAGUGUUUAGAUAGGAGAAUAAAAUGCCUUCGUCAUUCCAAUCUUCAAAACAUGCCAAGUACAAACAAACACAAUUUAAACCAAAGAAAUCAUACAUAAUGUCUUUUGACUGCAUCAGAAUUGAUAUCCAUAUCUACACAUUUGCCUUCUACAUCUAUUAAAUACAAAGCACCAACAAACAACACUUUCGUUACGAUGAACGGCCCCUGCCAAUUUGGGGCGAACUUGCCUUUUGAUUCAGCUUGAUGUGGGGGGAUGCGCUUCAAUACUUGUUGACCUAGUUCAAAUUUCCAGGGACACACCUUUUUAUUGUAUGCUUUUGCCAUUAUCUUUUGAUACAGCUGGCCAUGACACAGUGCUGCCAAUCUCUUCUCAUCAAUCAAACUUAAUUGCUCCAGACGGGUUUUGACCCACUCAUCAUCAUCAGUCUCAGCUUCAGAAACAAUCCGAAGGGAUGGAAUUUCAACUUCCGUAGGUAUCACUGCUUCUAUGCCAUAUACCAACAAAUAGGGAGUUGCACUUACUGAAGUGCGAACAGUAGUGCGACAACCCAACAAUGCAAAGGGUAACUUUUCAUGCCAUUUCCUGGAACCCUGCACCAUUUUCCGAAGUAUCUUCUUUAUGUUCUUGUUGGCUGCCUCAACUGCUCCAUUCGCCGUCGGGCGGUAUGGAGUGGAAUUGCGAUGCAUAAUCUUAAACUAUUGACACAGUUCUUUCAUCAGAUGACUAUUAAGAUUAGCACCAUUAUAUGUGAUGUGAGAUUACGAACCCACAAAUGAUAUUUGAGUGAACAAAAUCGACCACUACCUUCUUGGUCACAAAUUUGAAAGUUUUAGCUUCAACCCACUUAGUGAAAUAGUCAAUGGCCACCAGAAUGAACCUGUGUCCAUUGGAUACUGCUGGCUUAAUCGGUUCGAUGCCGUCCAUACCCCAAACAACAAAGGGCCAUGGUAUGGACAUUGUGUGCAAUUCAGAUGGCGAAGAAUGAAUCAAGUCUCCGUGUACCUAGCAUUGAUGACACUUGCGCACAAAACUGAUACAAUCUUGCUCCAUGGUAAGCCAAUAAUAACCUGCUCGAUGAAUUUUCUUUGCCAGAACAUAUCCACUCAUAUGCGGUCCGUAGACUCCAGAAUGUAUUUCACAGUCGUGGCUUGUCUAGCAUCUGUACAUCUUAACAAUCCAAGAUCUGGAGUUCUUUUGUACAAAACUCCUCCACUGAAGAAAAAUCCACUUGCCAAACGUUGAAUUGUUCUCUUUUGAUCCCUUGUGGCUUGUACCGAAUAUAUCCCCGACCUGAUGUACUCCCUGAUAUCGUGGAACCAAGGUUCACCAUCAAGUUCUUCUUCCACCAUGUUACAGUAAGCAUACUGAUCGCAAACCUAAAUAUGCAAAGGGUCAACAUAAGCCUUAUCUGGAUGAUGUAACAUCGAUGCCAGAGUAGCCAAAGCGUCAGCAACCUCAUUGUGGAUCCUAGGGAUAUGCCUGAACUCCACUGAUCUGAACUACUGGCAGAGAUCCUGCAGACAUUGUCUAUACGGUAUGAGUUUCAAAUAUCGGGUCUCACAUUCUACCUAAAUCUGGUGCACUAACAGAUCUAAAUCUCCCCAAACCAACACUUCUUGGACUCCCAUGUCCACAGCUAACCUUAAACCCAAAAAGCACGCUUUGUACUCAUCCAUGUUGUUGGUAUAAUAGAAACGAAGCUGAGCAGUGACAGGAUAAUGGUGCCCUAUUUUAGAGAUGAGUACAACUCCUAUUCCAAUACCUUUCAUGUUAGCAGCCCCAUCAAAGAAGAGUUUCCAACUGGGAUUUUCAUCCUUCUCGACCUCAUCAAUAUGUAUUACCUCUUCAUCAGGAGAGAAAGUUCUCAAAGGUUCAUAUUCUUCAUCCUCCGGGUUCUCGACCAAGUGGUCGACCAAAGCUUGGGCUUUCAUCGCCGUCCGAGUCACAUAGAUAAUCUCAAACUCUGUGAGCAAAAUCUGCCACUUUGCAAGUCUUCCUUUUGGCAUAGGCUUCUGAAAGAUAUACUUCAGAGGAUCCAGGCGAGAAAUGAGGUAAGUGGUGCAGGACGACAAAUAAUGCUUUAACUUCUGUGCUACCCAAGUCAGGGCGCAACAUGUCCUCUCAAGGGGAGUAUACCUAACCUCAUAAGACGUGAACUUCUUGCUAAGAUAAUAGAUGACUUUCUCUUUCCUGCUAGUGAUGUCAUGCUAACCCAAUACACAUCCAAAUGAAUUAUCCAGGACUGUCAAAUAAUUAAUCAAAGGUCUCCUUGGUUCUGGUGGGACCAACACAGGUAGAUUCAACAAAUACUCUUUGAUCUUAUCGAAAGCUUCCUGGCACUCAUCAGUCCAUUUGACCGCAUCAUCCUUCUUUAGUAACUUGAAGAUGGGCUCACAAGUUGUCGUGAGCUGAGAAAUAAACAUGCUGAUGUACUUUAGCCUCCCUAAUAGACUCAUCACCUCGGUCUUGUUCUUUGGUGGUGGUAAUUCCUAGAUAGCCUUGAUUUUUGAAGGAUCUAACUCAAUGCCUCGCCGGCUAACUAUGAACUCCAACAGUUUCCUAGAUGGAACACCGAAUGCACACUUUUCAGGGUUGAGUUUAAGAUUGUACCUGCGGAGCCUCUGCAAAAACUUUCCAAAAUCUCUGACGCGGUCAGACUGCUUCCUGGACUUUAUGAUCACAUCAUCCACGUAAACCCCGAUCUCCUUGUGUAUAAUGUCAUGGAAUAUGGUUGUCAUUGACCUUAUGUAAGUUGCCCCAGCAUUUUUCAAACCAAAAGGCAUGACCUAGUAGCAGUGUAUUCCCCACGGCGUGAUGAAUGCCGUCUUCUCCGUAUCUUCAUCAUCCAUUAAAAUCUGAUGAUACCCCGCAUAGCAGUCCAAAAAAUACCCAAUCUCAUGCUUGGCACAAUUAUCAAUCAAAAUGUGGAUGUUCGACAGUGGGAAGUUGUCCUUUGGAUUUGCGUUGUUGAUAUCACGGUAGUCAACACACACUCUGGUCUUGCCAUCUUUCUUUGGCACAGGCACAACAUUGGCUAACCACGUGGGAUACCGCGUGACUCGAAUGACCUUUGCAUUAAGCUGCUUUGUGACUUCCUCUUUAAUCUUCAUACUCAUGUUAGUUUUGAACUUUCUCAACUUCUGUUUAACGGGAAGGAAUGCUGGAUCAAUUGGAAAUUUCUGGACCACCAAAUCGGUACUCAAGCCUGGUAUGUCAUCAUACGACCAUGCAAAAAUAUCAUUAUAUUCAAACAAUACUUUAAUUAUUUCUUAUCUGAUUUGUGGUUCAAGAUGGACACUUAUCUUAGUUUCUCUGACAUUAUCUAGGUCCCCUAAAUUGAUUGCUUCCGUAUCAGUCAGGUUAGGCUUGGGUUUUUCUUCAAAAUGAUUUAGUCCCUUACUAAUCUCUUCAAAGGCCUCAUCCUCAUCAUAUUCUGAUUCAUCAUCACACUCUAGUUCUUGGAUUAAUAUUUCGGAAUUAUAUUGACUUUUAAGACUUGGCCAAAGAUUCCUCAUGCAUGUCAUGUCAUUGAAACCAUCAUAAAAAGAACUGUACAGAGAAGAAAAGAAAACAAAAAUAAAACUAUCAGAAAUGAUGGAAAAAGGAAAUUGCAUUUCAUUGAAAAUAAAAGACAACAGGGUUUGUACAUCAACAAGCGGAAAAUAAAAAAUCUGGGUCAUAAUCCUGGAAUGACCCAAAUAGAAAGGAAAACAAAACAAACUACCAAGACUCCUUCUAAGUAGGGAGAAGAGUAGCCUUCCAAUUGUUAAGCUUUACAUUCAGCCCGACGAACUGCACGUCUGCUUUGCUAGAACCUUCUCCAACUUCUACCAUGUUCACAUUAUCAAACAACCUCUAGAACCUUUCAAUAAACUCCUAAUCAAUGUCAACCACAGAACUUGGAACUGUCAUCACUGGGUGUUUCGUGGCACCGGGCUUGACAAAAGAUCUGGAGAGAUGCAAAAUAGGCUUUGGAAGUGCACACACCUUCUGUUUCAACCUUUUAGCCCUUUUCACAUCUGCCGGUGUAGGUGGAAUCCAAGACCGAACGUACCCAACUUUUUAGGGAGGGACACUGGCUGUAUGGUACCUUGCAGGGAUGCACCAGACCUUUACCUGGCAUAAAACCGUUUUUCAACAUUUUAAAUGCCACCAUGACGGAUGUAUAGGCUAUCUUUGGAGUUGGAACACAUUUCCCUUCUGGAACCUUCUCGACCGGCACUAUUUCAAAAACUUGAUAGACCUAGGGCCCUUUGUCAUCUUCGGCCUCAAUGAACUGGACAGAGGCAUCACUGUGAGCACAUAAAUUUUCCUCACCAUACACGGCGAUCUCCUGUCUAUCCGACUCGAACUUGACCAUCUGGUGCAGAGUGGAUGGGACUGCUUUGGCAGCAUGAAUCCAAUGUCGACCUAACAACAAAUUGCAAGAGAUGGCUACGUCCAGUACCUGGAACUCCAUAGUGAAUUCCACCGGUCCUAUUGCCAAUCCAUGCACUAUAUCACCAACCGAGUCUUUCCCCCCACCAUCAAAACCUCGAACGCAUAUGCUAUUUUUGUGAAUCCUCUCAUCAUCAACUUUCAACUUGUUCAGAGUAGAAAGAGGGCAGAUGUUUGCACUGGAACCUUUGUCAACUAAUACCCUGGUGACCACAGAAUCUUCACAUUUCACCGUCAGAUAGAGAGCUUUAUUGUGUUCAAUACCUUCCACAUGCAACGCGUCAUCAGAGGAGGUGACCAUGUUCACCUUAAAUAUUUUGUUGGCGAUCUUUUCCAGAUGGUUCACUAAAAUUUUGUUGGGGACAUGAGCCUCAUUCAAAAUUUUCAUUAGGGCCCGACAAUGCUCAUUUGAAUUGAUCAUCAAUGAUAACAAGGAAAUCUGAGCAGGCGUCUUUCUCAACUGCUCCACAAUGGAAUAAUCUUGUACCUUCAUUUUUCUUAGAAACUCCUCUGCAUCUUCUUCAGUGACCACUUUCUUCACUAGAACUGGGUUAUCUCAAGAUGUUUUAGCUUUCCUUAACUCUUCCGGGGCAAAGCAUAUCCCCGAACGAGUUAAUCCCUGGGCCUUCCUUUCCCUUAUAGGUCACUACCGCCCGUUCAUAGUUCUAUGGGAUAACCUUGCUGUUGAUUACUGGAAACUGGGUUACAGGCUUGAUGAUGACAGGAUCCGUACAGGAACCCUCUACAAUUAUCAUAGGCUUAUUUUCCAACCCUGGCAUGACCACUUUUGACUUUUCUUACUUUGCUAUAACAUCAUUUGGGGAUAUUUUCUUAACUACCACAAAUGGCUCACUGUUUGUCGUGCUCAACUUGUUCACUGAUCCUUCAACCGUUGGUUUUUUGACUGGCUUGACCUCAUUGGACCAAAUCAUCAUGACGGUCUGUGAAGGCUUCUUGGGCUCCCCCCCUUGUGUACUAUCUCAAUCGUGUUUGUUUCCUCAUGGGUUGACAAUGGGUUCUGGUUGAUGUUGGGUGCCUCUGGAGUUUGGACUUCAAUCUGAUUUAUAUUAAUGAGCUCCUAGAUGGCAUUUUUCAAGUGCUAACACUUCUCUAUAUCAUGCCUCGGAAUACCAGAACAAUAUUCAAAGCUCACGGAAUAAUCAAGAUUCUUUGGAGGAGGGUUUGGCAAUUUCGACUCAAUUGGCCUCAGCAUAUCCAACUGCAUCAAUCUAUGGAAUAAACUGGUAUAAGACUCCCCCAACAGGGUAAAAGUUUUCUUUCACUGCAACCUCUCAUUUUUGAAUGCUGGAUUGGGUCGGAAACCUGGGCCGACAGGGUUUCAGUAGGCUCGUGGGGGUGAAAAAGCAUUUUGUAGAGUUGGGUAGGUGUUUUGUAGGGCUGGGGCACGCCAUUGUGAGUAGGAAGAAGGUUGAGUAUAUGCCUAGGCAUGGUGGAAAGAAAUCUGAGGGUCAGGUGAUAGGAAGUAAUGCUGGGGUAGAUUAUACGGGGUUUGGGUGUAGGUUUGGAUAUAGGGUCGAGGCUGGGUAUAAUGGUGUGAUGGGACCCUUGGUCAAAACCAUGGUUCUGAAUCAACUGUUGCCACAUCUUCUUUCUUCUUCUUUCCGAUCACUCCUCCAGUGCCAUUCUGAAUGGCUUGGGUAAUUGCCUUGAUGGACGAGUAGCCCAUGAUUUUGCUUGAUUUAAGCCCUUCUUCCACCAUGCCACCCAUAUUCACUACCUCGUUGAAAGACUUGCCUAUGGUCGAUAUCAGAUGACCAAAAUAAGUAGGCUCCAGAGCCUGCAGAAAGUACUCCACCAUUUCGCUCUCCUCCAUUGGGGGGUUAACUUUUGCUGCUUGUUCUCUCCAGCAAAAACCGUAUUCCAUGAAACAUUCACUAGGCUUCUUCUUGAUCUUAGUCAAAGACAAAUGAUCUGGAAUAAUCUUGAUGUUGUAUUGGAAAUGACGAGCGAAUGCUUGGGCCAAAUCAUCCCAGGUAUACCAUCUGCCGUGAUCCUGACGAGUGUACCACUCCAAUGUCUUGCCACUCAGACUUUGGCUAAAGUACACCAUCAACAACUCAUCUUUCCCACCAGCUCCUCUCAUUUUACUAUAGAAUCCCCUCAAAUGGGCCACCGAGUCUCCGUGCUUGUCAUAUAGAUCAAAUUUAGGCAUCUUGAAUCCCACCGGCAACUGAACAUCGAGAAAUAGACACAAAUCCUUAUAGGCUACUCUCACCUGGCCUCCCAAUCCCUGCAUGUUUCUGAAUGUCUGUUCCAAGCUUCUAACCUUCCUGAACAUAUCCUCUUGUUUUGGGGUUUUAAAUGGUUUCUUAGUCUCAACUGGGAGGCCGAAGCGAGGAGUGUAGGAGUAAUAUUUUGGGGCCUUGAAAGUAGGCUCUGGGGGAUAGUAUUGGUUAUCUUGGGUCUAGAAUAAGGGCAUACUAGAGGAUCGAUGGAGUGUAGUGGGUGGGGGUGCCAUGAAAACAGGGGUGGUUGGUGGAGGGGGAGGGGGUAUGGGAUUGGUUUAGCUGGUGGUGCUUGUGUAGUUUGGAAUGUGGUGCCUUGGUAGUAGUGGUAAUGGGGAAAGCCGGGAGAUGAAUCAAUAGUGGGAGGUUCUUGGGACUGAGCCAGUGGCGGGACGAAAUCAGGGUUGGCAGGGUAUGAUGGUGGUGGAUGUCCUUUCAUCCAUGCCUGGUACAUCUCUGCCAUUUGAUGUUUCAACUUAUGUAUCCCCUCUUUCAGAUUAACAUCAGACUCUUCCACAUCUCUUGACGGAUCAUUAACACUUGCAUCCAGUUUUUGGCCAGCCAUGAUCAAGUUGUCUUUGGACCUGGUAUUGUAUGGGUGAGUUGCCAGAAUGCCAAAUAGACUAACAACCUGCCGCUCUUGAUGACAACAAGCAAAACUCGUUAGAUAUUAGAGCUUAAUAGAUAGGCAACUGCACGUUGGGGAUGUAAUGCACCUAAGCAGUUAACCAUUUCUAUUAUGCAUUUGAACGGCCGCUUGCAUCAUCACGACUUUCACUAAUUUUCAUUUUGCAAUUUCUCUCUCUUCUUAUUCCUGCUUUUCUUUGCUUAAUUCUUGUCUUUGUUCACUUAUUUUCACUCUCUUGUUCUGCCAUUAUUUCCCUCCCACAAUUCUCUUGUUUUCUCUUUUUUUUCCUCUCAUUUCACGGUUAUGAUCGAAUCCUAUGGGGAUUGUCUACGUAUCAUGAUGCCCCAUGAAUCAGACCAAACGUAGUUCUGGAAAUAAGUGUAAAAUAAAUAAAUAAAAAACAAUUUGGGGUUUUCAAAUUUUUCAUAAAAUAAAAACGUCUUGAUUACAACGACUCAUCCUACAGAAUUUAAUUAUAAAAACUAACAGACUCGAAAAGGGGGACUAACAAACUCCAACAUAAAGAUGAAAAUACAGAUUUGAAAACAGACUAACAGACUCCAACAAAGAAAAUGAAAAUACAGAUUCGAAUGAAAAUCAUGAAUACAUCAAUGCCUCAACUGCUCCAGGGGCCCGUGAGACAUCAGUCGGUUUUGCCACGGGCCUAUGCACAAGAUCCCCUUGAAGACGCUCCAGGUCACUCAUUAUUUGGCGAACAAAAUUCAUUACCGCAGCAAAUAAGGUGGUUCUAGUCAUGCCUUCACAUUCAUGACACUUCAUGACGAUGUAGUCAGCAAUUGCUCUAACCCUCUCCCUGAUGAUACCCUUUUCUUGUAGCAACUGUCCAAUCUACUGAGACCAGGCCCCUAAAACUUGUUCAGUUGUAUGAUUUUGUUCUUAAAGCUACUGCAGGUCUUUUUCUAACUGCGACAUCAGUGCAUAACAAUGUUCUCUUUCUGCUUUGAAAUCCCUUCCCUUCUUAGUCAUUUCAUUCUCAAGGACAAUGAUAUUUUUAUUCAACCCCACGAUUCCAUUGUCAUAUUUCUCUUUUAACUGUUUGACCAAGCGUGCUUGUUCCUCCGCAUUUUUAGCCAAUUUUGUUCGAGCUCUUGCCAGUUCACCUUCGGCCUUGUUCAGAUCAAAACCAUAUUCACCCACUUUCUGCCUAUGGUUACUUAUAAGCUUUUCAUCUUUUGCACUUCUAGCAGGGUUUUCGGUUGCUAUUUUCAUUUCCUGAAUUUGGGCUCGGAGGGCAUCAUUUUUUUUGGCUAGCUUUUUCUUUUCACCCUCAACCGCAACAGCUUGCAAAUCAUUCUCAAAUUAUAGAUCUCUAACUUUCUUUUCCAGCUUGCUUAUGGUGGCCCUAUACUCAUUUUUUUGGCCAACCAAUCCCAUUAUUCCUGUGACGCCUCGACAAAUUCUUGAAGAUGGGGUCUUUUGGCUGGUCUUCCAAACUCAACACUUCUUUUGUACCAUGUGAGGUAACCGAGCGAGACUUCACCCUUAGAUAGAUCACGCACUUGGGUGUUUGCUGUAAAGUAUUGACACUCACUCCAGAUCUGGCGAACAACCGCUUCAUGAAAUUGACCAUCAGAACUGAUCUCGAUUACCUGAGUACUAAGGUCUUCAUCUUUUAGGACUAUUUGACAUCUCCCCAGCUGUCUCAAAACCCGACACGGGGCAUAAGAUUGUAUACUUCUGAGACCCAUCAAGAGGAAGUGAGGACCGGUAGCAGGCAUGUAUAUGAUUUCAUCAGCAGGAAGCCAACCCAACUUCCAUGCUAUUUGAUUGGCAGUGACGGAGCGGAGGCAAGAUAUCCAUUUUGCGACCCCUUCUGGCAUGUUGAACCCGUCGACCCUUGUAUAAAACUUCUAUAUGCAGCUUUCUCCCGUUGAUCCAUGGUUCAUGUACUGGGGACGAUGACAUAGAUGCUUAGUCAUCGAUAUUUGUAGCAACAAGUUACACCCUUCGAAAAAAGUCUGCUCCGUCUUUACAGGCUGUGAGAGCUCAAAAUAUUUCGGACACUAUCAUGGGUGCGAGGGUGCUUUUGGCCUGGGUAAGCAAAGUGUUGACAACCCCGACUACAUGUACAUCGAUAUUUUCGUCCUUCCUGGGAAACACUAAAAGACCCAAAAAUACUACCAUGAAGGCGAAUCAUCUAUGCUCUUCCCAUUUUAGUCGAUUUCCUUUGCUGCUAAUUUUGCUCUCCGGGUUUUCAAAUCCCCAUAUGUGUCCGUACCACUGAUAUAUGAACUAUGGAGUAGAAAACCCAACUGCCAAAUCUGCAUAUUUGACCCCCUGCUUAUUUUUAGCAAAUGAAGAAACUUGUGAAGGGUGACGGCUCUCGGGGCAACCAGAUAUUUAUGUCUCAAAGCUUCGGCACUCCCAACAUAACCAGCUAUCUCUUCUAAAGUGGGUGUGAGUUCAAAGUCCGAGAAAUGAAACACGUUGUGUGCUGGGUCCCAAAAUGUAACCAAUGCUUUUAUUAUGUCUCCUCUAGGCCUGAUCUUCAAUAACCCAGUGAGACCCCCCAAGUACUGGUUGACCACAUCUCAUCCUGAUUUUCCCAGAUCUUCCUACCACAUGUACAGUUCCAAAGGAAUCUUGGUCAUGACCUUCAUUGACAAGUUUUGACUCGUGCUCAUUCUGCACAUUUAGGUUAGGGUGAUUGGCUUACAGACAAAGUGAAUCUUAUUUGAAAAACCGACAAAAGUUUUUUUUGCAAAUAUCAAGAAAUUAGGGCUACUUUUGCGAAUACGGCCCUCCAACACUUUGAAAUGGAAGUUUUUAGGGCUGUGCUCGCUAAGUGGCUAAAAUUUGUCAAAAACACAGUCAACGGAUAUUCUUGCAAAAACAGCCCUCUGGCGUUCCAUUGGGACAUUCAGCUAUUUAGACAAGAACGACAUCACCCACUUUAUUUACUACAAAAUGAUGACGCUUCAUUUAUUUUUUCCAAAUUUUUUCAAAAAGCGGGGCUGGACCCGAUGAGGGUUCCCUACGUAUCCCACAUCCGAUAAGAAUCAAAUCCGCGUAGUUUGGCCAGUUUUGACACAACUGAAAACAUAAAAACACUUUGAAAUGAUUUUUCUACUCUUUUUCUCUUUUUUUUUUCAAAAAUUUUGGUGGAGUUUCGGGAUGUUUUGGAUACCGGAUUUUGGGCAACAGAUGAAAUUUUCUCUCAUUUUCCGCACUUGGUCUCUCUUUUUUUCUUUUCUCUGAAAAAACAUAUUUUUUUCACUUAACCAGAAGCUGGUCAGCAUGCAAUCCGAAAUAAAUUAAAUGCAUAAGUAGCACACAAAAAUGCAUCAGGUUGGUUUUUUAUUUUCGGGUACGCCUGUCCUAGACGGACCCAACCCCUGUGUUGAGUCCCCAAAGUCAAAUGCAUAUGAUUCAAACAAGCGUUCCUACUAGGGAUCCGGUAUGAGGCUAAGUUAUUCUAGGUUCAAAACCUGAGUAUGUUGUUCUAGACUUGUGUACCUGAGCGGACAACUCGAGCCGAGGGGGGCUACGUACCGGGAACCAAAAGGCCAUCCGGCUUUGUAACUUGUCCGAGCCUCUUCUUAAUUUAAGGUAUGACACUAAUAGAAGAGGAAUCAUGCCAGCGUGCACAUCCCCGAAGAUGAGAAGAGAAGGGUUUCGUAGCAGUUUAUAUACAGUUCAAAUAGUAUCAAAACGGUAAAAAGUAACAUUUAGCACAUUAGGCCCAAACAUGUAAUACAACCGGAUAGUAAAUAAAAGUCAAAUAUAAUAAUUAUUCUAAGCUCGAAUUCUUGAAUCCUGAACUAGAGAUUCUGGGUUGUUAUCCCUAGCAGAGUCGCCAGAGCUGUAACACCUCCUUUUUAACUAACCCGCAGGGGUAUUUGGGAGUUUUUUCAAUUUAAGUGAUAAUCUAAAGGAGAUUAUUAUUUAAGAUCAGAGUCGCCAUUUGGGAUAAUUUAUGGUGUCACAAGUCACCAGUUUAAAUCCUAAAUCAAGGAAAAAUUGACUCAGUUUUACAGUCCGCGAAACACAUAAAUCUGGGUAAAAAAUUCUAUUAACCCGGGAGAAGGUGUUAGGCAUUCCUGGGUUCCGUAAUUUUAGCACGGUCGCUCAACUGUUAUCAUUGGCCUAUUUAUUUGAUUUAAAAAAACAUCUUCGAAUCCUAUGUGCAUUUUAUUCUUUUUAAACCGCUUUUAAUAAAUUAGUAUUACUUAUUGCGAAUCAUGUCACGAGAAUCAUACCCACGAUCUACAACAUGCUUAUUUUAUUAACAAGAUUAAAUGUGGCAGGGUCACAUAAAUGUACCCCCGAAUUUUAGAAAUUAAGCAUCACAACUACGUCACGGGAACCAUACCCGUAGCUGUGAUAAUUAUCUAAUCAAAUGCACCUAAAGCAAACUACGAGAGUGCAAAAGCAAUUUCUGAACUAAUUUUAUGAGGGUCAUAUGUUAUGGAUUUUAUUUGUGUAUGGAGCACCUCAAAUUAUUUUAAUAGAAAAGUUUGUAUAUUUUAUCACAACCACGUCACGGGAACCGUACUCGUAGUUGUAAUAAUUCAAUUGCGCGCCUAAAGAAAACUACGAGAUUCAUUUUAGUAACUAAGUUAUAAAAUAUGAGGGCCAUAGAUUAUAUAAUUCAAAUGUAUGAAUGACACGCCUCAAAACUAUUCAACUAAAUGAAUUAUGGAUGUUCAUAUUAAAACUAAUUUGAAAUUAGGUGUCACAACUACGUCACGGGAACCGUACCCGCAGUUGUGAUAAUUUAAUUAUGUGCCUAAAGCAUACUACGAUGUUCUUAAAUCUAAGUGAGCCACAAUCCCGGGAAUAAACACUCACGCCGUUCAAUGAAGCUAGAUGAAUAAGCAUCCAAAUAAAACAACAGAACACCAAGCUAAAUUAAUCUAAAUAUUAGGAGAAAACAUUAAGAUCAAAUAUGAUAACAAUUAGACACAGCAAAGUCGAACAAACAUGCAUUCGUAUAAAUGUGUAGGAUUUGGUAUUCUAGUAAUUUUCCAUUUGUUGUGAAGCUAACUCUCUGAAUUGUCAUAAGAAUUGCAGCAAAUGUAGUACAUUAUUCAUAAGCCAAAAAUGCCACCAACAUCAAGAAUGCCUUCAAUCGAUAUUGUAUUUCAAGAACUUAUUGAUUGCAAAGUGGAUAAAACUUGGACAGAAAGGAAAGAAGCAAACAAAUAUCUUAAAGACUCUGAAGGACAAGAUGAGAAACAUCAGGCAGGUAAGAAGGGGAAAUUGCUCUCAAAUAAAACUGUGCAGGCAAGAAAACACAAAGAUAAUCAAGUGAAAAUCAUAACUUCACCAAAUCCAAGGAAUGGUUCAGCAAGUUUAAGAAGAAACAGUUUUCUCUGAACAAACCAUACUCAAUACAAAUAUUUCCACACAAAAAAAGAAUCUAGAAAUGGAACACCUUCAAAAGAUUUCUCUAAUGAUAUAAAAUAAGUUGCUCUUGCCAAACGUCGGAGCUCUUCUACCUCUAUAAUGAUCACGCAGAGCAGCAAGAACAAAAUGCCAGUUAAAAUGCAUUGUCAAUGAAGUAUCAUCUAGAGAAAUGAGGCGGGACAAUAUCACUCAAUCAUCGAAGUAGGAGAAACCAAUCAAACUGCUACUUACGGGAGGGGAGGGAUGUCAUAUAGAACCUCAUCCAUGCCAUAUCACCUUUAGCACAAAGUUUUUAACAACAAAGAAAAUAGCUCAAUCUAAGAGCCAGUCUUUUUUUGACGAAAUUUACGUUAGAUUUCAUAUGUAACUUACCCAGACCCAAUCACCUCAUGGAAUUCAAUCCAAACAAUAGAAGACGACGAGCAUAAAAACUUAAAUAAACUCACGUUGAAGCAAAAUAUAACUAACAAAUCCUACAUCAACUGGAUACAGCAAAACUAUAACUCAAACUAGCAGAAAUUGCAGUUGAAGCUAUUCAGAAGCGCAACAAACUGGACAGAAACAUGUUAAGGAACUGAACUUGCAAUAUCUCUUUAUUACAACUUUAGGUCACAACCCAUGAAUCAAACUCUCAGUCAACAACACUCCAAAUUAGUCUCCAUUUGCAUUCACAUUUUCAUAAAAAAAACAACAGAACCACUCAAACAAACAUGUUCAAACUCAGAAAACCAACUCAAAGCUCAACCAAGCAUCCCAAAAUUGUUUAGUGAUGUUAAUAUUUACUUCUCAGGUAUCCAUAAAUCGAUUCAAACAAACAAGACAUUUCAGCUCACACAAUAGAAAAAUAGGAGAGUUUGGAAGUGAACCUAAAAAUGAACUUUCGAUUAAUGCAAUUUAACGAUUAGAACGAUUCUCAGAGGAAGUGAGUCCAAAUAGAGAUUGCAAUGAACUCACGAAUCAACAGCUAAACGAACAGCGUUGGAGCUGCUCAAAAUCAAUAGCACUCAGUCGACUUCCAUUAACUCAAAUUAAAAUCCAGAAAAUGAACUCAGCCUUCGAGCUCAAUCCAAACUCAUCAUGAAAAAUGAAACUUUCUGAACUUCAAGAUGAAGAGAACAAAGAGGCUCAGAUUAAAAAAACGAAAAUGAUUUUUUUUGUAUUUUUCUUUUGUAACUGGAAUUAAAUCAAGAUGGUUUCAAAAUAAAUCAAAAAGAAAAAGAAGCUUUCUUAGAACCCUAUUUCCCAAGUGACCUCUGCUUCUCCAAAAGAAAAUCCCUCAGAAUCAUCCCCCUUUACAAAAUCGGAUCCGGUCCUUUUUGAAAACGAGCACCUAAUGAAUGUGGGGCUCGGAUUGAAUGAUAGCAAUCCAACGCCUCACACUCAUCCAACGAUUGUCCUCCAGAACCUGCUCGAAUUGAAUGAAAUCAAUCCAACGCCUCACACUCAUCCAACGAUUGUCCUCCAGAACCUUCCAAUCGCGUGAUAUGGUUCAAAAUCGGGCGAGUGAGGGGGGGGGGGGGGGUAAUAUUUGGUGUCAGAAACCGUUACACCUAUGGAAGGAGGAAAGAAGGGAGAGACGCGUGAUGCGAGAUUGGAUUCACUCGCCUGAAUUUGGACUGAAUUAGGGCUUGGUUUGGGCAAGAGAGAUGAUUGAACAGUACUAUGCGCCGCUUUUGGGUCUUCAGGAUUUAGGUCUAGGGUUCGCUUGUUUUGUGUUAUUAGUUAUUUGGGGAUGGGUCGGGUUUAGGGCUGACGGGCGGGUGAGUGGGGUAAUUUGGGCUGGACCUGGAUGGGCAGGCGUGGGACUUUGGCUGGGAGGGGAAUUGGGUUAAUUCCGAGCCCAAUUUGAAUGAAUCUCCUUCCCAAAUUCAUUUCCUUUUUCUUUUUUUCUCUUUUUUCUUUUUCUUUAAUUAAUAAAAUCCUAGAAUUAACUCCUAAAUUAAUCUAAAUUAUAAAAUUAAACUAAUUGUCUAGUCACAAUAAUUAUAAAAUUCCUUAGUCCUAAAUUAAAGGAAAAAAUCAAUAGACUAAAAUUAAAAGGUGUAAAAUGAGCUAUUUUGUGAUUUUCGUUUUUAAUAAAAGAAAUAAUUGCUAAUUAAUUCCAAAAAUAUAAAAUCAAACCUAAUUGUGAUGCAUGGUAUUUUUGGAUUUUCAUGAUUUUUUUAAUAAAAAUGAACAUGCACAGAAAAUGCAAAUAAUUAGCACGAAUUUCCACAAAAUCCUAUAAAAUUGUAAAAAUUGUAAAAAAUUGUUUUUCUUGUAUUUUAUGAGAGUAAUUCACAUAGGGCAAAAAUCACGUGCUCACAAAACCAAUUCAAAAUUGAUGGAUAUCUAUUUAAGCAUUUUGGCAUCACACUACCAUCAUGGCUAUAUCAAGAUGAACAGUACAUGAUACUCAUUAACCUAAACAACAAAUUUGCAUUAAACCCUUGAGAAGAUGAAACUCAUACACACAAUGUGACUCAUCAGAACAUCAACAUGCAGUAUAAAGCUUUAUAACAUGCAGUACAAAUCCUUUAACAUCCUAUAAUCUUACAGAGCUUUCAAACAGAACAAAUUCCUACAAUAUUCGAUCCUACUGGGACACAUUACUAUAUACAUCCAUAACUAAAUUCUAAUUAGCUAAAAGGAACAUAGAUGACAGAGUAAAAGUAACAAGAAUAAAAUCAGCAAAUAUCAAUCACUCCACGCAUUCAUUAUGCCAUUUUUGAAGUAAGAGGCAAACGAUCCACAUAUUCAUAUUCAUAAUCGAUAACCAAGAGAUGUUCAACUUACAUACCUGGAUACAAGCAAACAAAGCAAAGGAAUAAAUCUUUGAACUUGACAAGGGACAAACAAGCAACAUAAAACUAGCAACAAAAAUGCAGCAGUAAUAAUCAACACCAGCUUCAGAUUAAAUCAUUUUUCUUGACUCCAAAAUCACUAGAAAUCGAAAAAAGAGUUCCCCUUAAACUUUUGUGAAAGAAGGAAAGAGUGAAAGGUUGAAUACAAGCAUCAAUAUUUUCAGAAAAGAAUUAUUAGCCGUUUGCUAUUUUUAGGUGUUGUAAUCUCUGCCCUAGGUUUGAAUGAAAAGAGCCUUUUAUAGAAAGGUUCUAGGCAGCAAAACCUGAUUUUCUUAAUUCACUCUCACCUCAAUUGAAUUUGCUCUUGUUCAUUUCAGUCCCUAAAUUUUAAGCAUGUGUGUUAAACCUCCCAAUUCCCACCUUUCUAGAUAGUUAGGGAAGAUUCCUUCUACUCAAUUCUCCUAACUACCCCUCAAAAGGUUUGGUAAUUACUUUAAACAUUAACAGACUACCCCAAAUGCCUUUGGGCUUCUGCUCUAACAAGCUUCAACAGACUUUUUGGGCUUCUUGCACUAGCAAGCCCAAUUUCAAGUCUAAGCAAACAAAUUCACAAGAAAUCCACCAACCAAAUUCUGAAUCCAACUAACAUAAGAUCUUCUAACGAAGUAGAAAUAAAAGGAAAGGAGUAAAAGGAAAGAAGAAAAUUAACAAGUACUAACAAAGAUAUUAUCUGUACUAUUAAGCUAAUACUACCAAAUUAGUCGAUUGAAAACCCAUGUUUUUUAAACCCAACUGAGAUAAAGAGGAAGAGAACUAUACCGACUAGAUCGAUAGCUCAAAGAUGAUGGCAUUCGGCGAGAGGAACCUCAACCGCAUGGUGUGAACUGUAACAUUGAGCACUAGCCGUAAUUUCUUCAAUGGCUUGUGCUCUUUGCCAUAAUCCUCAUCACGAUUCAAGAACGAAGACGAAGCAGAAGCUCAAAGUAUUGGCUCAUCAAUGGUUAUCUUCACCAGAAAUAAGUUACCAUGGAAUGAAUCGAAAUCACAACCAAUUGACUAGUCGAUUCCCACAUGUUAUUUUCAAGAAGAUGCCAGGUGAGGAAGGAAUCAGAAAAGGGAAACUAUGUUGGAUCUUCUGCAAUCUUUGAAUUAAGAUUCGGAAAGAUUUGGUAAUUUUUGGAGGAAAUCAAUAGUGGAUUUGGAAUGGAAGGGGGUGGGGGAACGGAGGUUGUGUGGUCAAUUUUUGGUGGAGUUUGGAGAUCCACCGUCGGCAAUGGUGAAUUCCGGUGGUUGGCGGAUGGUGGUGAGAGAUAAGGUGUGAGGGAGAUGAAGAACAAGGUACUAUGUUGUCUCUGAAAGAUUUGGACAUUCUUAAACGGGUGGGCUGGGGCUUUAAUGAACGUUGGAUAAAAGAAACUGAAGGGCCACGAUUCACUUGGACUGGUCUACGACGUAGUUUGGACUUUGUACUUUGUACUAGAAUCUCAAAACCGCGGGGGUUCCCAUAACGCCGGUACAAGAAGUAGAAUGUGCAGAAUCCCUUAGCCAAAUUUCCGUCUUUAACUUCCCGACUGAUGCUUAGAAGAUCCAAAAACUUAUGAGGAGUCACUGUUCUAGGUGCCACUGGGUAUUGAUUUAUGUGAUUCUCACUAAAACCAGUGUAUCCCGGUAUUUCCUUAAGCAUAUGGGUUAGCUCAAAAUCAGCAAAAUAGAACACAUUAUGUGCUGGGUCCCAAAAGGGUAUCAAAACCUCAAUUAUAUCCUUUCUCGGCUUAAUCUCCAGAAGACCAACAAGACCUCCCAAAUCUUUUAUCACAGUAUCUUGGCUGACUUCCCCUAAAUCAUUCCACCACAUGUGGAGUUCUAACGGGAUUUCCUCGAGGACCGUGAAAGGUUCAUUUUCAAUCAUGCUCAUCCUACACAUUUAUUUAAAGUGAUUGGUUAAAAGACUGUGAUUUACUUUGACUCAAAAGAAAAAUACUAAUUUUUGAAAAAAUUGCAAUUUAAAAACAAAACACUUUCGUGAAUACAACCCUUCAACACCUCAAAAAAGAAGAUUUUAGGGCUGUGUUUGCUAAUCAACCAAAAUUUGAAAAAGGGCCUUAGGUGGAUAUUAUUGCAAAAGCAGCCUUCCGGUGCCCUUUUGGGGCAUUUGGCUAUUUUGGACAAGAACAGCACUACCUAAUUUAUUUUUGACAAAAUAGCGACACCUCAUAUUUUUUGGGUUAUUUUCGCAAAAAUGGAGUUGGACCCGAUGAGGGUUGCCUAUGUAUCGCACAUCCGGUGAGAAUCAAACUUGCGUAGUUCGGUCAAUUUUGACGCAACAGAAAACAUAAACACUUGAAAUGGUUUUUUUUUUCAAAAAUUUCGGCAGAGUUUCGGGAUAUUUUGGAUACCAGAUUUUUCACAGGUGGGUAAUUUCCUCUCUCUCACCUCAAUUUGAUUUUUCUCAAUUUUUCUCCCCUAUUCUAGAAGCCGGUCAACAUGCUAUCCGAGUCAAAUAAAUGUGCAAGUAGCAAGUAAAAAUGCAUCAGGAUGACCUUUUGAUUUUGGGUACACUUGUCCUAGACGGACCCAACCCCUGUGUUGAUUCCCCAAAAUCAAAUGCACGCGAUGCAAACAAGCGUUUCUACUAUGGAUCCGACAUGAGUCUAUGUUAUAUUAGGUUUGAAAACCUGGGUUUAUUUGUUCUAGACCUGGCUUACCUGAGUGGACAACUUGAGCCGGGGGGGGGGGGGGAGGUAGCGUACCGAGNNNNNNNNNNNNNNNNNNNNNNNNNNNNNNNNNNNNNNNNNNNNNNNNNNNNNNNNNNNNNNNNNNNNNNNNNNNNNNNNNNNNNNNNNNNNNNNNNNNNNNNNNNNNNNNNNNNNNNNNNNNNNNNNNNNNNNNNNNUGAUUUAGAAAACUUAGAGAGAUGAGGGUUUUGCAACAAUUUAUAUAUAGUUCAACAAUAUCAAAGCGGUAAAAGGUAACAUUUAACAUAUUAGGCCCAAACAUGUAAAUAAAACUAGAUAAUAAAUAAAUCCAAAUAUAACAAUUAUUCUAAGCUUGAAUUCUUGAACCCUGAACCAGAGAUUCUGGGUUCGUAUCCUCAGCAAAGUCACUAGAGCUGUCACACCUCCUUUUUUUUUACCCCGAAAGGGUAUAAGGGAGUUUUUCCCAAUUUAAGUGACUAUCUAAACAGGAUUAUUUAUUUAUGAUUCAGAGUCACCAUUUGGGAUAAUUUAUGGUAUACCAAGUUACCAGUUUAAAAUCCCGAAUCAAAGAAAGAUCGACUCUGUUUUAUAGUCCACAAACACGAAAAUCCAGGUAAGGAAUUCUGUUAACCCGGAAGAAGGUGUUAGGCAUUCUCGGGUUCCAUGGUUCUAGCACGGUCACUCAACUAUUAUUAUUGGCCUAAUUAUCUGAUUUUAAAGCACUUUUAAACCUAUGUGCAUUUUUCAACUUUAAUACCACUUUUAUUUGUUUAAGGAAUUAUUUUAAACACAUCAUAAGCCACGCUACAUAAAAUGCACCCAUGAGUCAUGACACGUUCUAUUUAACCUUAUUGGAAAUUAGAACUGGGUCACAUGAAAUGUACCCCCGGAUUUAGUAGUAUCCAUGAUAAUUAUAUAAUUAACGUGCCUAAAGCAAACUACGGUGUUUAUUUUUAAUAUCUAAAUUAUAACAUAUGAGGGCCAUAGGUUGUGGGUUUAUUUGCGUAUGGCGCACCUCAAAUUAUUUUUAAAGGGAAAUAUUUGUAUUAUUCUUUUUAGGUGGCAAACUAAAGAUGCUCUUACUUUAAUCUAAUUUGAAAAUUGGGUAUCACAACCACGUUACGAGAACCGUAACCGUAGUUGUAAUAAUUAAUUACGUGCCUAACUUAAACUACGAGAUUCAUAAUUCUUGAAACUAAUGCGAGGUUUAAUGAGAGGCUAUGAAUUAACGCUAAGGUAUUAGAUAUUGAUGCACGCUUUUAAAAACCCCUUGUACCAUUUGGCCCAGGGAAACCUAUCACGUUAUUUAAAAGAUAUAAUCCCUACGAGCCAUUGAUCUCAAAAUCAAGCCCAAGCGGAAAGAGGCAUUCCCAAGCCUCAUUAUGGCCUUGCCCCAUCCUUCAGGCCCAAUGGCAACAACUGCCAAUUCAACUACAUAAUAAACGAAUAGCAUAUUUACAGCAGCAUACCCAAGAGGUGAACGAACUAAAUAAAAAUUCCAUUUAGGUUGAAACAUGGCACAAUUAGAAAUGACUCAUUUAACUAACUUUAUAUGCAUUAACCACAUAGUAAAAAAAUAGGCAUGAAAUAUUGCAUAAACCCCCUGAACUCUUAUUCAAACCAAUUCAAAAUUGAUUGAUAUCUAUUUAAGCAUUUUGUCAUCACACUACCAUCAUGGCUAAAUCAAGACGAACAGUACAUCAUACUCAUUAACCUAAACAACAACUUUGCAUUAAAUCCUCGAGAAGAUGAAACUCAUACACACAAUGUCACUCACCAGAACAUCAACAUGCAGUAUAAAGCCUUAUAACAUGCAGUACAAAUCCUUUAACAUCCUAUAAUCCGACAUAUCUUUCAAACAGAACAAAUCCCUACAAUAUUAGAUCCUACUGGGACACAUUACUAUAUACAUCCAUAACUAAAUUCUAAUUAGCUAAAAGGAACAUAGAUGACAGAGUAAAAAUAACAAGAACAAAAUCAGAAAAUAUCAAUCACUCCACGUAUUCAUUAUGCCAUUUUAGAAGUAAGAGGCAAACGAUCCACAACUUCAUAUUCAUAAUCGAUAGCUAAGAGAUAUUCAACCUACAUACCUGACAUCAAACAAAUCAAAGGAAUAAAUCUUUAGACUUGACAAGGGCCAAACAAGCAACAGAAAACCAGCAACAAAAAUGCAGCAGCAAUAAUCAACACCAGCUUCAGAUUAAAUCAUUUUUCUUGACUCCAAAAUCACCAGAAAUCGAAAGAAGAGUUCGCUUUAAACCUUUGUGAAAGAAGGAAAGAGUGAAAGGUUGAAAACAAGCAUCAAUAUUUUCUGAAAGAAGUAUCAGCCGUUUGCUAUUUUUAGGUGUUGUAAUCUCU
RNAcentral lists this long non-coding RNA (23287 nucleotides) under Nicotiana tabacum (common tobacco). RNAcentral's name for it is "long non-coding RNA (NTAB_LNC001505)". Lineage: Eukaryota; Viridiplantae; Streptophyta; Magnoliopsida; Solanales; Solanaceae. The record is from RNAcentral.